RNAcentral lists this ribosomal RNA (2388 nucleotides) under Triticum aestivum (bread wheat). Its description in RNAcentral is "partial small subunit ribosomal RNA". Lineage: Eukaryota; Viridiplantae; Streptophyta; Magnoliopsida; Poales; Poaceae. The record is from RNAcentral.
AUGGCGGAGGCACUGGGAGCGCUGUGCCGCGGCGGAGGCUGGUCCUACGCGGCCAUCUGGCGCUCCGACCGUCGCGACCCACGUUUGCUAACGAUUGGAGAGUGCCACUGCGAAGAUGAAGCCCGAAAAGUUGUUGAGAAUAUGCUUAAUCAAGUCCAUGUUGUUGGAGAAGGCAUCAUAGGGUCAGCUCUAGUAAGUGGGAAGUGCCAAUGGAUUUCCGAUGAUGAUUCCUUUAGUUUGGUUCAGACAUGCAACGCAGAAAACCUAGGCUUAUUUCAGGGCUAUACUUGGUGGCAACAUCAGUUCAUGAGCGGAAUAAAGACUAUUGCAGUAGUACCUAUCCCGGCGCUCGGCGUGGCGCAGUUUGGCUCGGUGCAAAAGGUAUCUGAGAACUUAGAGUUUCUGGAACAUGUUAAAGGCACACUUUGUCGAAGGGAAAGCAUCUUAUGGGAUCCUUCAACCAAACAUAUUCAUGGAGAUGCUCUCCCUCAUAAUACCCGAUUUCAACUCAAUUCUCUUAGCACAAAGCGUCUUAUGCAUAUCAAAGAUGACCCAGAAAACAUGAAACUUCUUGAGAACAUAGUAGGCAUAGAAUCUCUAGGGAGUUUAGUAAGUACUUCAAGCAGUUACUCUCCGAGCUCUUCAAAUGGUUUCACUUCCUACGGAAGUUUCAACGGUCGAAAUCCUCCUCAUAUAGUGGCCAUGCCUGUGAACUCCAAGUCAAUAAAUGCAGUCAGGUUAUUUCAUAAUGGCAGCAAUUUGAUGCAGCACAAUAGUGGUUCAGAAAAUCCAUUACAGCUUCGAUCUGCUAAACAGCCUGAUUCUAGUUUAGCAAGUGCAACCACAUCCUAUUCCAGUUUAAACAAUCUUCCUAGAAUAGAGCAUGAGCUGUCAUGCACACCCAACAAUCUAGGAUACCACCUUCAAAGUGAAGAUUCAUCUAGUUACCGUAACUCAUUCUCAGCUUGUUUUUCUGUGGGUGAUGAGCUCAAACCCAUGUUAUUUGACAACAACAACAACAACAACAACAACAACUCUCCUGUUCGAAGUAACCCAAUGCAUGAGGUCGAUACUACCGGAUUUACUUCACAGGCUAAUUGUGCAGUCUAUGAGUUGCCAAAUGAAAUAUUGGUCGAACCAACUGUGGGGACGGUAAGCACUCGCGGAAAAGUUAGCAAUGGAAAUACCAGUUUGCUAGAAAGCACGGUAUUCGAUCCCCUCAUACAUGAUUGGUGGGAUAACAGUGUCCUACUAGCAGAAAACAUUCCAGAUUUCGGUGCCACUACCACAUCCUCUGCGACAGAACAGGCAAAUAGUGAUCCACUAUCAGUUGAAGGCAGGGGAUUGUUUUCAGAAUCUGUCCUUGAAGAACUGCUUGGUGCUAGUGGUAAUGUGAGUACAGAUACAGCAUGUGGCUCUGUUGUCUCUAGCACUGGUCCAUUAGCUGGUUGUUUCUCAGGCUGUGAAUUACCAGGGUACACCAUCCACCAAGACUCCUCUUACUCGGCAUGCAAGGAACAAGUACCACCAUUGAACUUCCCUUCCAGCAGCUAUACAUCUGAAAAUGUACCAAGUGGAGCAUCAAAGGCAAUACCAGUGUCCCUGGCCAAUUUAUCUAUGGAUGACAGUUGCAGUCUGCACACUGCAAAUUCCAAGGUCGGGCAGGUAACAAAUCCUGAGGGAGUAAAGGUUAUAAAGAAAAGAGCUAGACCAGGUGAGAGCACGCGGCCAAGACCGAAGGACCGGCAGCAGAUACAAGAUCGCGUCAAGGAAUUGCGUGAGAUAGUCCCAAACAGUGCAAAGUGUAGCAUUGAUGCUUUGUUGGACCGGACAAUCAAGCAUAUGAUCUUUCUGCAAGGUGUAACUAAGUAUGCAGAGAAAAUUAAGCAAGCCGAUGAACCCAAGAUGAUAAGCAAAGAUAGUGGUGCCGUCUUGAAGGAUAACUCAAGCGGUGUUGUCUUGAAAGAUAACUCUAGUGCUGCAAGCAAUGGUGGCGCCACGUGGGCCUAUGAAGUUGCAGGACAGACCAUGGUGUGCCCAAUAAUUGUCGAGGAUCUUUCACCGCCCGGUCAGAUGCUUGUGGAGAUGCUAUGUGAGGAACGUGGCUUUUUCCUAGAGAUAGCAGACACCAUCCGCAGGUUUGGACUGACAAUCUUGAAGGGGCUGAUGGAGCUCCGUGAUGGCAAGAUAAUGGCACGAUUCCUCGUCGAGGCAAACAAGAACGUGACUAGGAUGGACAUAUUUUUGUCACUUGUUCAGCUGCUACAACAAAAUAGCCACAACAGAUCUUCUGACCAGCUAGCUAAGGUCAUUAGCAGUGGGGUUCGAUCUUUCGCGGAGCAUCAGCAAUCUCCAAUGUUGAUUCCAGUUGGACUUGCUGAGAGAUGA